CGCGGCCUAUCAGCUUGUUGGUGGGGUAACGGCCCACCAAGGCAUCGACGGGUAGCUGGUCUGAGAGGACGAUCAGCCACACUGGGACUGAGACACGGCCCAGACUCCUACGGGAGGCAGCAGUGGGGAAUCUUGCGCAAUGGGCGAAAGCCUGACGCAGCAACGCCGCGUGGGGGAUGAAGGCUCUCGGGUUGUAAACCCCUUUCAGCAGGGACGAAUCAAGACGGUACCUGCAGAAGAAGCCCCGGCUAACUACGUGCCAGCAGCCGCGGUAACACGUAGGGGGCAAGCGUUGUCCGGAUUUAUUGGGCGUAAAGAGCUCGUAGGCGGCUGAGUAAGUCGGGUGUUAAAUCCCCAGGCUCAACCUGGGACACCACCCGAUACUGCUCUGGCUAGAGUCCGGUAGGGGAGCGUGGAAUCCCUGGUGUAGCGGUGAAAUGCGCAGAUAUCAGGAGGAACACCAGCGGCGAAGGCGGCGCUCUGGGCCGGAACUGACGCUGAGGAGCGAAAGCGUGGGUAGCAAACAGGAUUAGAUACCCUGGUAGUCCACGCCGUAAACGUUGGGCACUAGGUGUGGGGUCUAUUCAACGGACUCCGUGCCGUAGCUAACGCAUUAAGUGCCCCGCCUGGGGAGUACGGA
RNAcentral lists this ribosomal RNA (640 nucleotides) under uncultured Actinomycetes bacterium. RNAcentral describes it as "bacterial SSU rRNA". It matches the Rfam family "Bacterial small subunit ribosomal RNA", at positions 232 to 886 of the family's 1533-position model. The record is from RNAcentral. Lineage: Bacteria; Bacillati; Actinomycetota; Actinomycetes.